CCUACGGGGGGCAGCAGUGGGGGAUAUUGCACAAUGGGGGAAACCCUGAUGCAGCGACGCCGCGUGAGUGAAGAAGUAUUUCGGUAUGUAAAGCUCUGUCAGCAGGGAAGAAAAUGACAGUACCUGACCAAGAAGCCCCGGCUAACUACGUGCCAGCAGCCGCGGUAAUACGUAGGGGGGCAAGCGUUAUCCGGAUUUACUGGGUGUAACGGGAGCGUAGACGGUUAUGUAAGUCUGGAGUGAAAGCCCGGGGCCCAACCCCGGGACUGCUUUGGAAACUGUGUAACUGGAGUGCAGGAGGGGCAGGCGGAAUGCCUGGUGUAGCGGUGAAAUGCGUAGAUAUCAGGAGGAACACCGGCGGCGAAGGCGGCCUGCUGGACUGAAACUGACGUUGAGGCUCGAAAGCGUGGGGAGCAAACAGGAUUAGAUACCCUUGUAGUC
RNAcentral lists this ribosomal RNA (441 nucleotides) under uncultured bacterium. RNAcentral's name for it is "partial 16S ribosomal RNA". It matches the Rfam family "Bacterial small subunit ribosomal RNA", at positions 338 to 795 of the family's 1533-position model. The record is from RNAcentral.